UAUUUCUUUAAUAAAAUCUUUAAUAAAUCCUAAAUAAUCCUAAAUCCUAAAAAAACUUAAAUCCUAACCAAUUCCUAAAUUCUAAACCAAAUCCUAAAUCCUUACCAAACUCUAGUCAAAUUAAUUUAAUCCUAAAGAAGUUUAGAACUUCAAUAUCUAUCAAUAAUACCAUUGAUCUUACUUAAGAUUCUACACAACUCUUAACAACUAAGUUGGCAACAAGCAUACAAAAUUUUAAGAAGAUUGAACAUACCAAAUAGAAGUUCAAUCCCAAAUUCAACUCAGGUAUUGGCCAGCUUCCUACUCCAAUCUGAAUGUUGAACUUCUAAUGCCAAUAUUUCCUUCUUGAACCAUUUAAUUGCUUUCAUAAUUCACCUAAACUAUUGGAAAUCAAGUCUAAUCUUCAUACAAAAAAAUUCACUUCAAUUCAAUGGAAAAAUUGCAAAAGAUCUUAAAAAUACUCACUCAUCUUUAAAUUCCAAUUUUUGAGAUCUCAACCCACAAAAACCUUUAUACACUUUGAUCU
RNAcentral lists this long non-coding RNA (526 nucleotides) under Physcomitrium patens. RNAcentral's name for it is "long non-coding RNA (PPAT_LNC004539)". Lineage: Eukaryota; Viridiplantae; Streptophyta; Bryopsida; Funariales; Funariaceae. The record is from RNAcentral.